CCCUAAACUCACUUAUUUGAGUGGUGGUUUGCUUUAUAGUUCCAACUGAUCACAAAAGAACAGCCUUCCUCUAAUUUAAUUUUUAAAUAAUCUGCAAGGAUUAUAAUCUCCCCAGUUCAAGGGGUGAAGUGCUGUUUGUCUCUGUGCUCUUUUCCUCUUCUACAAAGACAUCUUGGAAGAACUAUAAGGACCACUUACUAUCUUGUAACCUAAUAUACAUGUCUUUGGGAUUUCCUAGCAAGGAUGGAAAGAACAAAACCAAAUUAAGCAUGCUAAACUCAAUCUGCAUAACCACAUCCCCCUGGAUGUACUGUUCAGUAGUGUGCAUACUGAGGUGUGCCAGGGCUUUCAUCAAGAAUAGAACAGAAAUCCCAGAGAAAAACAUGGUCACAGAAGAAGGUAGCACAUUUGUCCUUGCAUGUACGUGUGAAAAUGCUUAGACAUAUUUUCUUCUUUAUUCAAGGUCUCCUGAGAUGGAUGACUUCAGAAAUACUGCACUGAGGUUGAUUUUACCUAGAAGAGGCAUCAAAGCCUCAGAAAUGCCUCAUUAGUGGAUAUUAUAGAGGUCUUUAUAUACACUCCUAUGUGUCCAGGAACUUUUGAAGCUGCUGGCAGAUUACAUCCACAUUAGACAGGAGGUUUAGGAUUGCGAGGCGAAGCAGAACGCAAGGAAAUCCAGUCGGGUGCAAAGUUUUGGAUUUGUCGCAGCAUUUUGGCUCUACCGAGACUUCUCGCCCAGGUCUGUGAAACCUGGCAGAAGCAGUUGCUGCUGAAGGCCUCCAGAGGGAGAUCCCGCCCCUCGAAAGCCGGGUGCCUGAGCACAGCUCUUUAAUUCCACGUCUCUGAAGGCGUCGUGAAGCCGGAUGAGCAGGGAUUGUGAAGAGCAGAAAACAACAAAGAUGCUCCUGCCCAAGCAUCCUCAGGGACCAGCAUAAGCGAGGCCAAUGGCUGGUUUGUGCCAGGGCAGUACCAGCACCAAAGGGCUCCCUCAGAGGCCUGUGAGAGCUGAUCAAUUCCCACUGAAUUCUUGGAGGCGGUGAGGCCCUGGCACAACUUUCCAGAGCAGCGUUGUCACAGGAGGUCAUGUGUGUCCCUCUAUUUGUCCUUUGGCACUGGGGAGCUGAAGUACCUCCUGGGACUGGCUGAGAGGAUUCCCUGACCUGUAUGCCCUGAAGGAUGCAGCAUGCCAACAGGUCAACUUUUGUUGGAUUUCAGAACAAUUUCUGUUUGAGAUUUCUGUAGAAAAAUACAUAAUGUAUGCGUAACUUUGCAAGUAUAUCAGAAAAGUAUUCCUCAGUCAUGAGGAGCUGGUGACUUCAUGUCAGUGUGCUGAUUUGAUUAAAAAUAGUUUUUGUUUGUCUGGUAGAACAACACAUAAGGCAGCAUAUGACACUAAACACAGAAAUAGAAUUUUGAAUUAUCAAGUCAAAAUAACAUAGAAAACCUGCUGAAUUCACACGCACAAUAAAGAACAUGAAGCUUGGUAUAUAAUUCUAAAAUUGUGCUUGAAAAUAGAAAACAUUUUAAGAAAUUCCCAUUUAGUGAAAAAUAUUAUUUUUUCAAUAUUUUUACCAUAGAACAUGUUUUAUAUGAACAUCGCCCAAAAAAUCACAACUAUGAUCUUAUGGUAAGAAUACAAAUCCUCGAAACAGGACUUUUCCAAUCCCUGCAAGGGCUGGACAUGUCAAGUAUGUUCUCCAUGAGUUAUUCUGUUUUACUAGUUUUACCUCUGCUCAUCUGGUUUUAGACAAAGUCACAUUUAUGUGAAUUCCUUAAGUAGUCCAUCUCACAUCCUUCCUUACCUGUUUUUUUCCCUUUAUUUGCCAUUCCCCACUUUUAUGUCAGCCAGGUGGCAGAUGUGUUUGGAUUCAUGCACCACAGAACAGUAAUGAAGCUGCGGCUCCUCGCUUUGAUACUCCCUUUUUUUUCUGAGUAUUUGAUCCCUUACUCAUGCUGACAGUCAAGACUGGUCUGAGUCACACUCUUACAGGAUCUUUCUUGAAGAUUUUGGUAUUACUACAAGAUCUGUCACAGUGUGAGACGUAGCGUAUCGUUUUCCUGUCUAGAAAUGACUUUCCAGAAAGCUGUGCCCCUGAUCCUGUGUGUACAAACACACAUCAGGAUGUCAGUCCUUCAGUAUCCCCCAAAACUACUAUACAUAUAUCUCACACAUGAAACAUGUUUAUAAGUUGCUGAGUACUGCAGAUGCAUAUACUAAGAUGAUUUUAAUAUGAUCAAAUAAGUAACUUAAUGUAAUCUGACUUUGGUUUAAUAUGAUGAAGACAAAUAGAUGAAGAAGAUUCAUUUAUUCCUGAGCUCUUGAAAAUUGUUCCCAGCAGGUAUGAAUGAGUUCAGAGUGUGUGUCUGCUCCAGAUAUUUUAUGGGAUGGAAGGGGAAGUGAAGUACAGUAAAAGAGGAUUGAAGUGCACUGGGGAGCGUCUGCAGCUGGCAGCAUUUGGCCUUGGGAGCAUUCAGUAAUAUGUUUCAUUGCUUAGGGAAAAAUGAACUCCAGUCCUUCUCUUCGUUUACUGGUGAACAGAGGCUCAAUAAACACCACAAUAUCCUGGAGGGAAGUCCAGGAAGAAAAGCUGACCUAUGAAGUACAGUUAAGGAUGUGAUUUUCAUUGUCAAAGGAUGGAGAAAGCACUGGAUAUCUUUGAUUAAAAAUAUGCAGUAUUUCUGCCUUGAAAAAUAGUCUACCUGCACAAAGUAUUUAUUUUGUGGCUUUUGCUUGUAACUGAGUCAGUUAUGGCAAUGAUCAUUAAGAAUUGAAAAUAUCUUCCUUUCAGAGUCAAUGAAGCUUUGAACUUUACCCACUGGAGAAAGGGAGAUAUUUCAAUCUGCUGGAAACACGUUGGAUUCUUUCUGAAAACCCUACAGCAUCCUUAAAGGGCCCACGUCUGCUGCUUGUGAUUGUGCCUUACAUAUCCUCUCCAGUUCUCAAAUCUUUAUGUUCAGGUGGAGAUGGGACUCAAGUGCAGCAAAUGCACGGGCUGCUUUACUGAAGCUGUUAGGUACAAAGAGAGCAAAAAUUUGGCUGAAUUGCAUGGAUGAAAACAGAAGCUUAUCACUGUCUUAGUCCAAGUUAGGCAAUCACAAAGCGCAUUAUACAUUCAUGAAAACAGCAUGUAAUUGGUCACCCAUCUUCAUAGGGGAGGUGCUCCAGCCCCUGAUCAACUUUGUGGCCCUCCUGUGGACCCUCUCCAACAGCUCCCUGUCUUUCUCACAUUGGGGGCUCCAGACCUGGAAACACUCCUUGAGCUGAAAAAGUGUAGUUGUCUGUUACUUCGUAAGAAAACAGAAAACUGAAAUCCAUUCCAGUUUGUAUCCAUGAGUCUCCAUUGACCAUUUCACUUUUUGCUGGCCACCCUCCAUUACUUCCUGCCAUGAAUGAUACAAGCCAAGCAUUACAGCUGAGUGAAACAGAAAAAGAGGAAAGUGAGAAAAGUGGAGCCUGUGAAUAGGAAACUAAAAAGCAGUGGCCUGAAUGUGUAAGCUUCAAUUAGUGAAACCUCAGCCAGUGACCUGGAGCUCAUCCUGACAAACUUCACACAGGGAACGCAGGGCAACUCAGCGGCCAUAAACAGUGUUGCACUGCAGGGUGCUGACAUUUUGCUCAUAAGGAGCACUGUCCUGGGCUUUGGUGAGCAAGGUACCCUACUGCAGAGCCCAAUGGAGUUGAAUUGUACACACUGCUUCCAGCACCAAGCUGGCGCAGCAGGCAAGGCUGUGCAAUUGCUGGGCUGUUCAGCAGCCUCCAUCCCCCUGCUGCACACUUACCUACAUGAGGACAUACCUCAAGGAGCUCUUCUGAAACUCCUUCCCUGACCUCAGUCCCAGAAAUGUGAUGAUGAACACAGUCAUUUGUUCUCUGGGUGCAGUUUAUGAUUGAUACAGAAGACAAAUCGAAGCAAACUAAUCCACCUAUCCAGCAUGGAUAAUAAAAAUACGUAAGGGCUGAUGCGUUGAAUCAGGCCAGAGGUCCUUCUGGUUCAUCAGCCUCUGCCUGACCUUGGCCAAAGCAAGGUUCCUUGCUUGGGUAGCAGCAAGGAAGCUGACAGGAAUUCUUCCCCAUCCACCUCCUAUCCUUACUGGUGUGCAGCUGAGCUGCCCAGAGGAGGUACCUUUCUGUUUCGUAGCACUGGCACCAGUUUUCUUCCAUGAAUCUUACUGCUUUCUGGACUUGUACAUACUUUUGCUGUCUAAAACAGCCUGUGGAAGAAUUUCACCACAUUUUACCUUGGAAGCUUGCUUAGUUUCUAUUUUUUCCUCAACUUUUUUAAACUUCGUUUUCUUCAUUGUAAGCCUCAUAUUUGUAUUAUCUCAGACCAGAGAGCUAAUGCAGCAAAAAGUUUCGGGGUUCAAUCUAAAGUAUGUGGAGAGGGACUGAGAGGCUGAACAAGCAAAUAAAAAUUAGGGGAGGUGUAAACAAUAAAGAAGCUAAAGACUUUUGUGCAGUAGUAAGAAAGGACGUAAUGGGAGAAACUGGGGGAGAAAUUUGUUGUGCUGUGAAAGAAAAUGUUUUCUAACACUGCAAUGUAUUUCCAUCAGAAACAAUAAGAAGCGAUAUGGAUGCGUCCAGAACACUUAUGGAAGUGGGUGGAGAUCACUCUGCAGUGACAUUCAGCAGCCACCAGAUGCUUUCUGUCUUUGCAGUGAGGCGUUUGCUUUCCUCCGCACAUGGGAACCAAGCUGUUUAUCUCAUGGCCACAUCCCUGCUCUUGAGCCCUGGCAUCUGACCUGAUUCACAUUUUGCUCCAUGGAUCGCACAAAGUUUUUGUCAUUAGAUGUUAGAGGAGGAAGUUAUAAAAUCCAGGUACCAGCUUGUCUGUUUUAUCUCACAGCAUCCAGUGAAGACACAGCUAGGGUAGGAAACAGGAGUAAAAUUUUCCAGUCGGGAGCUGCAGAGCAUUAGCAGAAUCUCAUUGCAGGCAGGCAGCUGUCCUUCCCUGCGUCCCCACAUCCUCCCAGCCCCUGGGCACUUGUGGCAGUGGUGUGGAAGCACCCUGGUAGGGCUGCCGCUCCCUCAUUGCAGGAUUUUGCACCUCCCCAUAAUGCACAGACUGAGGCGGGAGAGCAGUCAGGAUCUGCGUCUGCGCGGAUGUGCUGCUCAUUACAGCACCCACAAUUUCUGGAGCUCAAAUGCCCAGACUGGAAAUUGAAAUAAGUUGAUAAAAAUAAACAGGGCAGGGAGAACUCAGUGCAUUAGUUCUAAUCCCAAUGAUAGCGUGGCAUGGCCUCGUUUAAUGCUGGGAUCUGGCAGAGGUAGCUGAUAAGGAGCGAGCGGUGACAGAUGCCAGUUGGCACCACAGAAGGAAGCUUGGUUUUAUAGCCCACACUGUGAGAUAAUAAUGGAUACAAAAGAGGACACACAGACCAAAUUGUGUGCUCUGAUGGAAAAGCUUCUUAAAAGUCAGUCUCACCGAAUGGAAGCAGGGGUUUCGUGUGCCGCAGUGUAGUGACCGUGCUGAACAGAACACAUGUACCACUGCUGGGGUGGUGGCCAUACACUUUUCUGAAGGUUCCUUUAUGCAUCCUCUUCUUUAAGAGCAGUUCAACAAAAGAGAGCUGAAAAAAAAGGAAUGUGAGCUUACUUAACUUCUACAUGCACCACUUUAUCAGUCCAUGAGAAAGACAAGUUCAGUGAUGUAUUUGUUCUGAGAACAAAUAACUGGGAGAAAUUAAAUGUCACACACAUCUGGGUUUUUAUUUCUGCAUUAUCAGAGUGAACAGGGAAAAAUUUCAAAGAUUUUGUUAUUCAGCUUGCAGAGAAUGAGGCAGAUAGCUUUGUUCCAGCCACUGGGCACAUUCCAGUGCAGCACUCUGGUGCAAGGUGGGCCCAGGUCCUUUGUGGAGAUUGCUGGGAGGCACUGAUAGUGAGAUGUGGGGCACAGCUCACGUGUGAGAUUCAUUGCUACAACAUAUUGCUAAGAGGAAUGCAUCAUUAGGAUUGCCAUAGAUAUAAAAGCAUCUAUAUAAAUGAAUUGCUGUAAGAUGUUGGGCAAAUGGUUUCAUCUUCUCACAAUGGUUCAAAAUGAGGAUGAUUAUACUUACCCUACUGAGUAAAAUAAUUAGAGAUCUAAACAUAGAAAGCACAGUGUGUUCCUAAUGUGAUUAAGACAGAUAACAGGGAAGGAAAAUAAAUGGCUAUGUCAGCUCUCACUGUGAUGGUGGGGUUGCUGGAAUGUCUGUGCAGCAUCUAGGUGUGGUGUGAGAUGAAGAUGACUCCAAGCUCCAUGGCUGCUCCCUUUCUCCUUCACCAGCACUGGUUUGUCUAUCAGUGGUUGUUCAGGUGUAACUAAAUAAGAGUGGUGUCUUCCUCAUUUUGUCUGCUUGCUAACUCUGGGAUAAGUUGGACAUCUUCAUCUUUUGAUCUGCUGUUCUUCAGUGGACACAUGCACUGCUAUGAAGACACAGUUUAUCACUUAUACCAAAAAUAAGAUGUGAGGGGGAUAUUUGAUAGGUUUUACAUCAGUGGUAAGUGUAGGGAUGGCACAUAGGGAUGAAGUUUAGAAUGAAAUUCAUAGUUUGGUCUUUGAAUAGUCUUCCAAAUACUGUGCAGUGCCAAUACAGUCCAUGUUAGAUGAAUGUGUUUGCACCUAACUCCUACCUGCACCUGACACUAAUCAAGUAUGCAGCAGGGACACUUCAGUGCACUUUUGCUGCUGAAGAUUGAGUACAGCCCAAUGAGGCCUUGUAGCAGAGCUCAAGUAGAAAAGCAGAGAUGAAAAGGUAGCCUAAACCUUCUGCAGUUGCAAGCUGAAACACAAUACUCUCCGUGUUUUUCUUUGUUUCACUGCUCCAGACUGAAACAGAUUAAAUCAAAGUCUAUUAUUUCUCUAUGCAGUGAGCAGCAUACUGAUCUCAAAAACUCCAAAAACAGCAGUAGCUUCAGAUCUUCUUGGUUUAACUCUGACUUCUCAAUUUUUGAAUUCCUUUUCCAAGACCUAAGUGUAAAAUUUUGUAAUUAAUGACAUUUUUUAUUUUAAUUCAUGUAAUUUGCUUGUAAUCGAUGUGAUGCCACCUAAUGAAAACCUGAAGGUAGGGUCUUAACUUGGAAGUCAUUAGUAGUACAGCUAUAUUAUAGCUUUUGUCGGAAAAGUGCUGGUGAUGUGUAUCUGGUUUACGCAGAUAAAAAUUUUUCUGUUUUCUUUAGUUUCAGCGAUGUGUCAGGAGAUUUGUUUUUGGAGGGUUCUUGGUAGCUGAAAUCCCUUUUUUUUUGUUUUUGUUUUUGUUUUACUGAAGGCAAACAAUAAUCCCCCUACAAUGCAUUGCCUGUCAUGUUCAAUUGCUUAAUUAAGUUACUGUGGUGAACUCAUUAGGACUAUAACAGUUUAAAUCUAUUAUCCAUAGCCAGCCAAACAUUAGCAAUAAGAUGUUAGUGCCUUAUUCUGCAGUCUGGAUUCUGUCUUUCUGCUGGAAGGCAGAAACUAAGCUUACAAUGAAAAUAUUGGCUCCUUCCUACAGCCCAGGGCCAGUGUCCUCCCAGUGUCUGUCCUUGCUUAAGUCUUUAAUAGUAACUGAUUAAAAAUAAACUAAGAAAUAGCAAACAGUUCACCAAUAAACUGCAUAUUGUUGUGCAUGUCAACAGUUUGUGGUGAAGGACUCCACCAGCUCCCUGGGCAGCCCAUCCCAGCACCUGACCACUCUUUCAGAUAAGUUUUUCCUGAUGUCCAGCCUGAAUCUUCUCUGGCACAAUUUGAGGCAAUUCCCUCUCUUCAUAGAAUCAUAGAAUCACAGAAUCAAAGUAUGGUUUGGGUUGGAUCAUGGAUCCAAGG
Molecule: non-coding RNA, 7778 nt
Organism: Meleagris gallopavo (turkey)
Lineage: Eukaryota; Metazoa; Chordata; Aves; Galliformes; Phasianidae
Source: RefSeq, a predicted model, not a curated record